This 300-nucleotide ribosomal RNA is filed under the name uncultured Methanobrevibacter sp. Its description in RNAcentral is "bacterial SSU rRNA". It matches the Rfam family "Bacterial small subunit ribosomal RNA", at positions 495 to 795 of the family's 1533-position model. Lineage: Archaea; Methanobacteriati; Methanobacteriota; Methanobacteria; Methanobacteriales; Methanobacteriaceae. The record is from RNAcentral.
GGGUAAUGCCGGGGCCGCAGCGGAGGUAUGACGGAUGGUCCGAGGGUGAAUCGUAAUUAGUGUGCGUCAAUCGUGGGCAGGCUGUUUGUUAAGCGAGAAGUGGAAGGUCUGGGCUCAAGCUAGGAAUAGCAUUGCGAACUGGCGAACGAGAGUCUUGUGGAAGGGGGUAUAAUGCCAGGGGGAGCGGUGAAAUGCGUAGAGAUCUGGAGGAAUACCGGUGGCGAAGGCGGCCCCCUGGACAAAGACUGACGCUCAUGCACGAAAGCGUGGGGAUCAAACAGGAUUAGAUACCCGGUAGUC